This is a long non-coding RNA of Oncorhynchus keta (chum salmon), 214 nucleotides long. RefSeq lists it as uncharacterized. The transcript is spliced from 3 exons. The record is from RefSeq and is a predicted model, not a curated record. NCBI's taxonomy places the organism in Eukaryota, Metazoa, Chordata, Actinopteri, Salmoniformes, Salmonidae.
CUUCACAGCCCCCACCAGACAGAGCUCCAAGUCUCUGGUGGAAAACCCCGCCCCCAGCAGUGGUGCUAAGGUGGAGGACUUCUGCUACCCUGUAGAGUGUCUGGCUCUAACAGUAGAAGAGGUGAUGCACAUCAGACAGGUUCUGGUCAAAGCUGAGCUGGAGAAGUUCCAACAGUACAAAGACGUUUACAACGAACUGAGGAAAGGAAAGGUG